This 433-nucleotide ribosomal RNA is filed under the name uncultured bacterium. Its description in RNAcentral is "partial 16S ribosomal RNA". It matches the Rfam family "Bacterial small subunit ribosomal RNA", at positions 29 to 507 of the family's 1533-position model. The record is from RNAcentral.
AACGAACGCUGGCGGCAUGCCUAACACAUGCAAGUCGAACGAGACCUUCGGGUCUAGUGGCGCACGGGUGCGUAACGCGUGGGAACCUGCCCUUAGGUUCGGAAUAACUCCCCGAAAGGGGUGCUAAUACCGGAUAAUGUCUUCGGACCAAAGAUUUAUCGCCUUUGGAUGGGCCCUCGUUGGAUUAGCUAGUUGGUAGGGUAAAAGCAUACCAAGGCGACGAUCCAUAGCUGGUUUGAGAGGAUGAUCAGCCACACUGGGACUGAGACACGGCCGAGACUCCUACGGGAGGCAGCAGUGGGGAAUAUUGGACAAUGGGCGAAAGCAUGAUGCAGCAAGGACGCGUGAGUGAUGAAGGCAGUAGGGUUGUAAAGCGCUUUUACCCGGGAUGAUAAUGACAGUACCGGGAGAAUAAGCUCCGGCUAACUCCGUG